GCUCGCGCUGUCUACGCUACCGUUCGCCGGCUGGCCCUUGCCAUCCGCACCGGCACGGGAUGGCACAGACGAGAGGA
This 77-nucleotide non-coding RNA is filed under the name Olsenella uli. RNAcentral's name for it is "aspS RNA". It matches the Rfam family "aspS RNA". The record is from RNAcentral. Lineage: Bacteria; Bacillati; Actinomycetota; Coriobacteriia; Coriobacteriales; Atopobiaceae.